UGAUAGCCCUGAUGAGAGUGGAAAUCCUGGCGUUGUGAGAUUGCUUCGCGAGCUCGCAAUGACAGAUUGUAACGUACAGCAGGAACAGGG
This 90-nucleotide small RNA is filed under the name Flavobacterium saliperosum. Its description in RNAcentral is "Flavo-1 RNA". It matches the Rfam family "Flavo-1 RNA". Lineage: Bacteria; Pseudomonadati; Bacteroidota; Flavobacteriia; Flavobacteriales; Flavobacteriaceae. The record is from RNAcentral.